CAGGGAUGGAGCAGUUGUGUCUGGUAUUUUAGCUCAUGAUGGUGUAUUUGGAACACGUUUCAUCUGUAUGUUCAAGUAUGGGUUCCAUUUUGUUUUAGGGGUAGAGGUAUAAGUAUUUCCUCCUCCUUGAUCUGUGUUGUUCCCAAGAAAGAGGACCCUGAAUCACAGGCAGACACACAUCUGCUAGAACAAUAAGUCAAACUAAGCUCUGAAAGACAAGGCAUCAGUUAAACGUGGCCGAACUUUCCUUCUGGAUACCUACAGUGCCUUCAAGAGGCUCUUGGUGAUAUAUGUGGGAUUUCUGUGCCUAGCUAACAUGAACACUGAAGAAAGAAGAGAGCCCUUUAGUUUUCUCCUGCCUGUGUAAAUCUUCAGAUGUUCUGAGCUGUCUUUUGAUACUCUUCAGAGGAAUAGCUGGAGCCUGCUCGAGAAUUUAAGUGUGAUAAUCCCAUGUUGCUAGUAGUUUUAUAAGUAAU
Molecule: long non-coding RNA, 476 nt
Filed under: Coturnix japonica (Japanese quail)
Lineage: Eukaryota; Metazoa; Chordata; Aves; Galliformes; Phasianidae
Description: lncRNA (ENSCJPG00005008423.1)
Source: RNAcentral